This 626-nucleotide ribosomal RNA is filed under the name uncultured bacterium. RNAcentral's name for it is "bacterial SSU rRNA". It matches the Rfam family "Bacterial small subunit ribosomal RNA", at positions 66 to 724 of the family's 1533-position model. The record is from RNAcentral.
GCGCCCACUUUUGUGGGAGCGGCAGACGGGUGAGUAACGCGUGGGAAUCUACCCAACUCUACGGAACAACUCAGGGAAACUUGAGCUAAUACCGUAUACGCCCCCUUAUAGAGAUAUUUGGGGGGAAAGAUUUAUCGGAGUUGGAUGAGCCCGCGUUUGAUUAGCUAGUUGGUGGGGUAAUGGCCUACCAAGGCGACGAUCAAUAGCUGGUCUGAGAGGAUGAUCAGCCACACUGGGACUGAGACACGGCCCAGACUCCUACGGGAGGCAGCAGUGGGGAAUAUUGGACAAUGGGCGCAAGCCUGAUCCAGCCAUGCCGCGUGAGUGAAGAAGGCCCUAGGGUUGUAAAGCUCUUUCAACGGUGAAGAUAAUGACGGUAACCGUAGAAGAAGCCCCGGCUAACUUCGUGCCAGCAGCCGCGGUAAUACGAAGGGGGCUAGCGUUGUUCGGAUUUACUGGGCGUAAAGCGCACGUAGGCGGAUCGUUAAGUGAGGGGUGAAAUCCCCAGGGCUCACCCCUGGAACUGCCCCUCAUACUGGCGAUCUUGAGUCCGAGAGAGGUGAGUGGAAUUCCGAGUGUAGAGGUGAAAUCCGUAGAUAUUCCGAGGAACACCAGUGGCGAAGCGG